UGCGACGCGGGCGGUCCGCCGCCCGCGACUCGGCGAGAAGUCCAUUGAACCUUAUCAUUUAGAGGAAGGAGAAGUCGUAACAAGGUUUCCGUAGGUGAACCUGCGGAAGGAUCAUUGUCGAGACCGGGAGCGCACCGAGCGAUUCGGAGAACGCGUGACGCGAGCGGCGGCGGCUGCCGUCGCGGAACUCGGCCGUCCCGGGCCGGCGCCUCGCCCCCCCCCGCCCGUUCUCCCGGCCCCGGCCGGGGACGGAUGAAACACAAACGGGCGCAGCUCCGCGCCAAGGGAGAAAGAUCGAACGGCACGGGCCCCCGCGUCGGGCCCGGCGGGGUGGAGCGCCGUCGCGCUCCAUGCGGAUGGACACGACUCUCGGCAAUGGAUAUCUCGGCUCUCGCAUCGAUGAAGAGCGCAGCGAAAUGCGAUACGUGGUGCGAAUUGCAGAAUCCCGCGAACCAUCGAGUCUUUGAACGCAAGUUGCGCCCGAGGCCAGCCGGCCGAGGGCACGUCCGCCUGGGCGUCAAGCGUCGCGUCGCUCCGUGCCGGCCCCGUGCGCUCCCCCGGUGGGCGCGCGACGGCGGAGGCCCGGACGUGCAGGGUGGCUCGUCGUGCCCGUCGGCGCGGCGGGCUGAAGAGCCGGUCGCCGUCCCGCCGGCUGCGGGCAACGAGGGGUGGGUGAGAGCUGCGAGCGCAGCCCGCGUUGCCUCGUGCUGAGCCCGGGAGGGCGGCUCCGAGGCGAUCCCGACCCAGGCGCCGAUCCACGCGCGGCGGCUUGGAAUGCGACCCCAGGAUG
This 790-nucleotide ribosomal RNA is filed under the name Grammatophyllum speciosum. RNAcentral's name for it is "eukaryotic LSU rRNA". The stretch from base 365 to 520 matches the Rfam family "5.8S ribosomal RNA". The record is from RNAcentral. Lineage: Eukaryota; Viridiplantae; Streptophyta; Magnoliopsida; Asparagales; Orchidaceae.